This is an RNA transcript of Zeugodacus cucurbitae (melon fly), 873 nucleotides long. It is a transcript of the gene named acyl-CoA-binding protein-like, with no coding region annotated. The transcript is spliced from 3 exons. The record is from RefSeq and is a predicted model, not a curated record. Lineage: Eukaryota; Metazoa; Arthropoda; Insecta; Diptera; Tephritidae.
UUGAUAAGAUUUAGUUAUAUUCAAAUAAUAACGGUAUAAACUAUUAACAGUUAGCUAAGCUAUCGAUUAUAAAAGGCCGGAGUCAAAAAAUUGGGUCGUCAGUUAAACCUUAGCCGUCUACAAAGUCAAUAAUGGAUUUCCACACUGCCUGCGAAAAAGCCAAAGCUUUCACCAAGAAGCCCUCGAACGCUGAAUUCUUGGAAUUCUACGGUCUCUUCAAGCAAGCCACCGUUGGUGAUGUCAACAUUCCAGCUCCCAGCGCCAUUGACUUGACGGCCAAGGCUAAAUUCGACGCAUGGAACAAGCACAAGGGUUUGUCCCAGGAUGCCGCCAAGGCCGCCUACAUUGCCACCUAUGAGAAAUACGCACCCAUCUAUGCUUAAAUUAAAAAUUAUGGAAAUGUCAUUUAGACAAGUACUGUUAACGUAAAAAGAAUUAGUGCUCGAGAGCAUUCACAAAUAUCUACCCUGUCGGCAACUUCAUCUUGGGAUGGGACAAAAUAUAAAAUUCCACCUUUGGUAGAGAUUGCUUUUGAGUGCCUAAAACCACUACUUGGCGGAUAUCAAACUAACCGGUCUGGAAAUGAAGCUCUCUAACCGAAACCAUAGAUAAUAGGUAAAACAUAUCCAAACAGAACAAGGAGUAUUUAAUUAGAUUUGAUUGCCCUUUGGUUGUUCUGGAUUGAAGUUCUCUUAUAGAAGUGAGUAGAAAGUGGGAAAAUUAUUGAAGUGAUAUUAAGAUCUUAGCAUGAACUUGUGCUUUUAAAUAUAGAUCAUAAGAGGCAUGUCAACUAAGAACCAAAAUUAUGUAUAAAUGUCUCCGAAGGUUAUAGGAAUAUUAUAAAAUAAUAAAAUAAUUCUUAUUAACAUUCAA